This is a long non-coding RNA of Panthera uncia (snow leopard), 1120 nucleotides long. RefSeq lists it as uncharacterized. The transcript has 2 exons. The record is from RefSeq and is a predicted model, not a curated record. NCBI's taxonomy places the organism in Eukaryota, Metazoa, Chordata, Mammalia, Carnivora, Felidae.
GCCAAGGCCAGUGGUCACCCUGGGAGCUGCUGCCCGGGCAGUGACUUGGGGGCAGGAUGGGGGUCAGGGCUGAGCACACCCUCCAGCCUUGGGGUGUCUCAGAAUGACCUCAACUCCUGGCCUCGGGCCACAGGCUCCUGUCUGUCCCCAGGACUUCCGGUGUUCACCCUCACGUGCGGGGUCAGUCACAUCUCAUCUCCCAGCCUCCCUGGGCAGCAGGACCCUGGACGGCCUUGGGGUCAAGGUCCUCCCUCCCCCAGCUCCCCAGGCUGGACAACCAGGGAACUGAGCUGCCCAUGAGUCCGCACAUUAGGUGGUGUCCAUGGAGGAGGAACUGUCGGCUGCUGAACUCCCCACGGAAAAGCGAGAUCGUGGCCCCAAAUCAGAGAACGUACCGGCCAAGACUCCCAGGAGGUGUGGAGGAGUUGUAGCGAGAGUGGACGUCCUUGCCUCAUCCCAGUCCUGGACGGGGGGUGCAGACCUUCUCCAACGUGUGCAAUGCUGAACGUGCUUGGCACGAGUUCUUCGCCAGUGCUCUGUAUUAGAUUGAAAACCUUUCUGAUCCUCGUUUCCGAGCUGUCGUCACGGACGGAUGCUGGGUCCGCAGCACACGGUAUGAAUGCUCCCAGUUGCUGGUAACAGGUGCUUUCGAGCCUGAGUCCGAUCAUCCAGCAUCUGGGCCUCCCAGGCCUGUUUAUUGUUUCCCACACCAGUUGAGAUUUUCCUGGGGCUUUCAUGCCAAGUAAUUUUGGGUUUUGUCCUGAAACUCAGAAUUCUUGAUGAAUGAACUCUUUUCAGUUUGUUGUGUGCCUUGAGCACUAAAACGGUUGUUUCUGACAGUUUUCCCAGGUGUAUAGUCGCAUUCUGGGGAGAACAUUUGUUGACCUCCUCACCCCUUCACGCCCGAAAUCUGUAAUGUCUUUCAUUACUCAAUUCAUCCUUUCAUCAACUGUAUCUAUUGAAUGUCUACUACAUGGCCGAUUCUUUCUUAGCCAUUGGGCGCACGACGGACACAAACUCUCUUCCUGUAGAUUUUGUUUAACCAACAAGUAAACAAAUUAGGCUAUUCCCAGCAGUGAAAAGCACUGUUAAUAAAGAUCAUGUCUAACUUUCACCACUA